CUUGCACCUAUCCUAAACUUGUAAGGUGCCCUAGAGAUGAUAGAGAAAGGGUGGUUGGUUCAGCUUGACUUCCUCCACUUGGACGUCGGGUACAAGAACGACUAUGAGAAUGUCCUCAAGGCGGUGACAGCGGUGAUGGCACCUCGGUUAGAUGAAGGAAUGUCAGGGCGCCCAGGUAGAGGACGGUGACUUCCUCCUCCUCCACUUGGAUGAUGCCGCCGCCGGGGACAAGAACAAACGACUAGAUUUUCUUGCUGCCACUUGUCUUGAAUAUGGACGGUGCCUUCGAGCUGAAAAAUGGGUGGCCGAGUUGCUGCUGCUACUUAGGCUUUCAUACGAUGGGAUGUUGUUGUUGACCGCUUCAACACGCCGAAGGUUCAGGUUUGGGUGC
Molecule: long non-coding RNA, 391 nt
Organism: Lolium rigidum
Lineage: Eukaryota; Viridiplantae; Streptophyta; Magnoliopsida; Poales; Poaceae
Exons: 4
Source: RefSeq, a predicted model, not a curated record